CAAUGACGAGAGCAAUUAAACUCAAUGAGUAAAGGAUAUAUUCUCUCAUUCUGUUAGUUGGGAGGGGCUGUCACCAGCUUGCAGUGACUGGCAUGAAUCCAGGUCGGUUUUCCCUCCCACUUGACUGCACUCGGAGAAAUUAGAAUAACACGACAGGGUCCCUCGUACCGUUUUUCCAAGGUAUGUCUUUGGAAUACCUUAACGACAACCCAAUCUCCGGGUUUCAGAUUAUGAGUUCCUUCACACGUGUUCUGGAAUCUGGAAUAGAAUUAUACACAUUUCUGUGCAACAUGGCAGAACCAGUAGAGAGGAAGAAACUGAACCCCGGGAAUGGCAGUGAGCCCCCUUGUUGAGCAGAAAUGAUCACCAAUAAUAAUCAUGAAGUCUGAGCCUGAAGUUGUUCUACAUUGUUGAAAGAAAAGAAUAAAAGUAAUAAAUGAUAUGAUCUGA
Molecule: long non-coding RNA, 450 nt
Organism: Xenopus tropicalis (tropical clawed frog)
Lineage: Eukaryota; Metazoa; Chordata; Amphibia; Anura; Pipidae
Exons: 2
Source: RefSeq, a predicted model, not a curated record